Molecule: unclassified non-coding RNA, 244 nt
Filed under: plant metagenome
Description: partial contains small subunit ribosomal RNA, internal transcribed spacer 1, and 5.8S ribosomal RNA
Source: RNAcentral
UUUCCGUAGGUGAACCUGCGGAGGGAUCAUUAUCGAACUAGCGAGGGUUGUUGCUUGGGAUGACAAGACACCAUCUGCAGGCCUUCAUCAUUCACAAACCCCAGUGCACCUAUUGUAGGCGGGUCGUAGGGCCGACCUCGGUUGGUCUGAAAGCAAGGCUAUGUUUACACUCGCUUCAGUUCAAGAAUGUCAUUUUCGAUUAACGCAUUAUAUACAACUUUCAGCGACGGAUCUCUUGGCUCUC